Molecule: ribosomal RNA, 515 nt
Filed under: uncultured bacterium
Lineage: Bacteria
Description: partial 16S ribosomal RNA
Rfam family: Bacterial small subunit ribosomal RNA
Source: RNAcentral
GAUGAACGCUGGCGGCGUGCCUAAUACAUGCAAGUCGAGCGAAUGGAUUAAGAGCUUGCUCUUAUGAAGUUAGCGGCGGACGGGUGAGUAACACGUGGGUAACCUGCCCAUAAGACUGGGAUAACUCCGGGAAACCGGGGCUAAUACCGGAUAACAUUUUGAACCGCAUGGUUCGAAAUUGAAAGGCGGCUUCGGCUGUCACUUAUGGAUGGACCCGCGUCGCAUUAUCUAGUUGGUGAGGUAACGGCCCACCAAGGCAACGAUGCGUAGCCGACCUGAGAGGGUGAUCGGCCACACUGGGACUGAGACACGGCCCAGACUCCUACGGGAGGCAGCAGUAGGGAAUCUUCCGCAAUGGACGAAAGUCUGACGGAGCAACGCCGCGUGAGUGAUGAAGGCUUUCGGGUCGUAAAACUCUGUUGUUGGGGAAGAACAAGUGCUAGUUGAACAAGCUGGCACCUUGACGGUACCUAACCAGAAAGCCACGGCUAACUACGUGCCAGCAGCCGCAGUAA